This 414-nucleotide ribosomal RNA is filed under the name uncultured soil bacterium. RNAcentral's name for it is "bacterial SSU rRNA". It matches the Rfam family "Bacterial small subunit ribosomal RNA", at positions 26 to 430 of the family's 1533-position model. The record is from RNAcentral.
AGGACGAACGCUGGCGGCGUGCCUAAUACAUGCAAGUAGAACGCUGAAGGAGGAGCUUGCUCUUCUGGAUGAGUUGCGAACGGGUGAGUAACGCGUAGGUAACCUGCCUGGUAGCGGGGGAUAACUAUUGGAAACGAUAGCUAAUACCGCAUAAGAGUAGAUGUUGCAUGACAUUUGCUUAAAAAGGUGCAAUUGCAUCACUACCAGAUGGACCUGCGUUGUAUUAGCUAGUUGGUGAGGUAACGGCUCACCAAGGCGACGAUACAUAGCCGACCUGAGAGGUGAUCGGCCACACGUGGGACUGAGACACGGCCCAGACCUCGUACGGGAGCAGCAGGUAGGGAAUCUUCGGCAAGUGGACGGAAGUCGUGACCGAGCAACGCCGCGUGAGUGAAGUAAGUUUCGAUCGUAAAG